UUCUUAUUGGAUGAUGACUGUCACGUGUCAUGUUCUGAUUGCCCAAUGAUAACAACAAUACAUUUCAUCUUCCAUGAAUUCGACAUCCAAGUGACAGUCAAUAUUC
Glycine soja is the source of this 106-nucleotide non-coding RNA. The record is from Rfam. NCBI's taxonomy places the organism in Eukaryota, Viridiplantae, Streptophyta, Magnoliopsida, Fabales, Fabaceae.